RNAcentral lists this ribosomal RNA (408 nucleotides) under uncultured bacterium. RNAcentral describes it as "partial 16S ribosomal RNA". It matches the Rfam family "Bacterial small subunit ribosomal RNA", at positions 28 to 526 of the family's 1533-position model. The record is from RNAcentral.
GACGAACGCUGGCGGCGUGCUUAACACAUGCAAGUCGAACGAAGUGGCGAACGGGUGAGUAACGCGUAAUCAACCUGCCCUUCAGAGGGGGACACCAGUUGGAAACGACUGCUAAUACCGCAUACUGAAGGAGUGGAUUGCGUCGGAUUAGCUAGUGGGAGGGGUAACGGCGCACCAAGGCGAUGAUCAGUAGCCGGUCUGAGAGGAUGAACGGCCACAUUGGGACUGAGACACGGCCCAGACUCCUACGGGAGGCAGCAGUGGGGAAUCUUCCGCAAUGGACGCAAGUCUGACCGAGCAACGCCGCGUGAGUGAAGAAGGUUUUCGGAUCGUAAAACUCUGUUGUUAGAGAAGCGGUAUCUAACCAGAAAGCAACGGCUAACUACGUGCCAGCAGCCGCGGUAAUUC